Molecule: long non-coding RNA, 1167 nt
Filed under: Panax ginseng (ginseng)
Lineage: Eukaryota; Viridiplantae; Streptophyta; Magnoliopsida; Apiales; Araliaceae
Description: long non-coding RNA (PGIN_LNC012630)
Rfam family: MIR6135 microRNA precursor family (bases 299-420)
Source: RNAcentral
UAAAUUAUAAAAUCAACAUGAUUAUUGUUACUACUUGUAAUAUAAAUUUCGUACAGAAAGUCCUUGACCUUGGUGGAUUUCUUAUUUACAAUAUGAUGUUAUGCUUAUAAAUAAUAAAGCCUAUUGUUACAUUAUGUGUCACUUACCUAAUUAAUUUCCUUUAUCAAAGUAAUACAUCAUAACCAUGUGAUUACUAUCAAUUAAUACAUCAUAACCAUGCAUGUGUUACAUCAUUUAACAUGUAAUACAUCAUACCCAUGUUAUGUGAUUACAUGUGUUUUAACGGGAUCCGGUUAGCGUGAAGUUUAUUUUUUGGUAAGUUGGUCAAUUGGUCAAUAGAAUGCUGACACACAUAGAAUCUCACAUGCGUGUCAAUAUUCUAUUGGCCAAUUGACCAACUUACCCAAAAAUAAACUUCAUGCUAACCACUUCCGUUUUAACGCGUGACAGGCUUCUCAAAAAUUGACUUAUUCCAUUCCAAAACAUGGACUCCCAUUUUAAGACAGAUUCAGUUAAUCUUUGGCAGUCCACCAUCGGACUUCGGCAAGAUAAGAAAUUACAUAGCCCCGAAAUGUCCAACCAUAGUACAUCAAAAUUUGAAAAAUAAGAAAGGGGAAGUAGCCCAUCUCCAUCAACAAAUUACUUGGCCUUUGGCAACAUCAUACUCAAAAAUAAAUGGACAUGCUUCAGUACUCCCAUCCUAAUUUGUCACUUCGGUCUUUGGUAAUUUAGGGUUGACCUCAGGAGGCUGAUGAGGACUUCAUCCUCCCAUGGUCCCCCAUCUUACCCCCAAGCAGAAACAAGCACACAUAAUAGUUUUGGCAGACCAUUAUGUUGAAUCAAUAGCUAAUUGGAUCCACGUUCAAAAUUUAGCAAAGCACGUGCUGCUACAAAUUAAAUAAGUCUGAAUGCCCUUCGGAGCAUUUAACGAAAAUCACCCGAGCAACAUCAAUUUUAACAAAUAUCAGUUAUCUCAUUCGGAAAUAUCCUCAACAAAACUUGUUUCUUCGGGGUAUAGUAAACGCCUCCGGAUAAGCACGGUUCUUUUCGGGUAAGCACAGACUUCGGUCAUGGUUCUUCGGUGAAGUAACUCUGGGUUUCAAAUGAGAACAACGUUCACUCUUGGAUAUCUGAAUUUAAAAGUAUGUUCACUAUAGGUCAGUUCUA